GCGCUCAUAGCUCAACGGAUCGUGCACUUGACUACGGAUCAAGAGGUUGCAGGUUCGAAUGCUGCUGAGCGCACCC
Molecule: transfer RNA, 76 nt
Filed under: Streptomyces rubellomurinus subsp. indigoferus
Lineage: Bacteria; Bacillati; Actinomycetota; Actinomycetes; Kitasatosporales; Streptomycetaceae
Description: tRNA-Arg
Rfam family: tRNA
About the family: Transfer RNA (tRNA) molecules are approximately 80 nucleotides in length. Their secondary structure includes four short double-helical elements and three loops (D, anti-codon, and T loops).
Source: RNAcentral